Molecule: ribosomal RNA, 396 nt
Filed under: uncultured bacterium
Lineage: Bacteria
Description: bacterial SSU rRNA
Rfam family: Bacterial small subunit ribosomal RNA
Source: RNAcentral
GACGAACGCUGGCGGCGUGCUUAACACAUGCAAGUGGAGCGACGAACCAGGGCUUGCCCUGGGGCAGAGCCGCGAACGGGUGAGUAACACGUGGGUAACGUGCCCCGAUGAUCGGGACAACCCGGGGAAACCCGGGCUAAUACCGAAUGUGCUCCCCUCACACCAGUGAGGGAUGGAAAGGAAGCUUCGGCCUCCGCAUCGGGAUCGGCCCGCGGCCCAUUAGCUUGUUGGUGAGGUAACGGCUCACCAAGGCUGCGAUGGGUAGCUGGUCUGAGAGGACGAUCAGCCACACUGGGACUGAGACACGGCCCAGACUCCUACGGGAGGGCAGCAGUGGGGAAUCUUGCGCAAUGCGCGAAAGCGUGACGCAGCAACGCCGCGUGGGGAAGACGGCCU